GCGUCUCUGGCCUAUUUUUUUUUUCAAUCAUCAUCAUCAUCAUCUUGACAAAUAAUCAUAUAGCAGAUAUAUAUUUUUCACAAUUAGUUAGUUUCCAUCCAAAAAGAUGACAACUUCUUUUUAUUUAUAUGCACAAACAGGAUUUUAAUUGAGGUCGACUCUAGUUACUGUUGAAAGAGACAAAAGAAGACUUGGAUUCAUGAUUGGAAUAGCGGAUGAAAGAGAAAAUAUCAACCUGUACGGACCGUUACUUGCACUUCACCAUGGACUUUUCAGAAUUUGCCCAUUACAUUGUACAAGACCCAGUAUGAACUCAGUGGGCAGGUGGGAUAUCAAAAAUAGCGAUCUCCACGUCAACGCAUUCACUCUCGGAAAGAGAUGGUCGUCGUCUGUGGGUGGCGUUGGUCAUCCUCUCGCACCCACUUGAUGCCUCCGUGCAGCCUCCUCCCUCCGUUAGUCAAUCUCGAUACACGUCCUUCCAAAGCCUGAUGGCGGCUUGCAGAACGAGAAUCCGAAAGAAUCCUUUUCCCAUUUGUUUUGUGGUAAUUGGUUGAUCUGACUGUCGUCUUCUCUUUGAAUUGACCAGGUGAAGCAAAAAUGGGUCCAAACAAUAUAAGAGACAUGUCAGCUUGUCCCCUGCUCUUUCCUCGUACCGCGUGGUUCCAAGAUUGUGUAAUGGGAUCAAGAAUCCAGACAAUUUGAUACCAAAUUGAAUAUGGAUGGAUCGAUUGAUUCGUCAUUAUUCAGGUGGAGUCCGAGUUUUUGAGGGAGCUGCGCACCAAAUUCAAUCGUGAUCAAACGGCAUGACUCAGUCACAGUAAAGGCUUCAGGCAGAUUAGCACUUUACACUUUCGCUGCGGUCAAAGGCACCUGCUGUAUUCACGAACCUGAUACAUCUGUUAUGAUAGAAAUUAUCAGCACCAACCCUAGUGUGUUUGAGUGGAAGGAUCCACAACCUGGAACAGCAACCAGCCCUACCCUCUUCCAUCAGCUUUUUGACACAAUCAACAUGAAAUUGCAAUCGCACUCUUACCUUUUGACAAUGACAUAUAUCGGAUUUCAGACAGCUUAUUAGCAAUAAAUAUAGUGACAAAAAGCAGCGUUCGUCAGACAGAAGGCACUCCUCAGGAAUCUUGGCAAAUAUAAAGAAUGAACCCUGAGGCUUAAACUGAAUGUGCAAACCAAUUUCAGCCAGAAUUUUAGCUAGGAAAUCUCUUCUUACUUCAUAGUCCUGAACAUCAAUGGGAAUAAGAGUCAGUUACGGCGAAUCCUCAUGCACAGCUUCGGAGUAUACUACUUGUCUUAGUGAUUCAAAAUAUUGUGGCUGACUUUCAAGAUCGGUAAACACAGCCUCCUGGAAAGAGUGUCAACAAGGUGCUGGAGCCAAAGCUGUGAUUCUGACGUGUAUGUUCUUUAUGGCCGUUGCGAUGGCAGCAUGGGCAAUUGCCCAUCCAAUCUUCCUGCCUGUCCAUCAAAAUACCAAUUCCAAACUUUGAGGCAGCUAAAGAGUUUGAGAAAUUACGUCCAUUUUCUAUCAAAGUUAUUUGACGACAGGAUAUCAGGAACAAGAAAAAUAUUUACAAAAUGAUUUAAAAGAUUUUAGGAGUUCUUGGUGGAAGCUUUGUUCCACAGUUGAUGCUUGCAUCACUACGAGACAGUGAUACUGCAUCUCAGAACUAGGAGAUCACCUUUACCCUGAAUGUUUUUGAGAAGUAAUUAUUGUCCAUUCCUGCAUUCCUUGAAGAGAGGCAAGGGAUAUUUGUUACGUCUUGUCAUAUGUGAAAGUGUUUAUACCCCAGAAAACAUUUGGAAUUUUAUACUCAUUCAGCCCCCGGAUAUCGAACUCCUCUGCGUAAAAGCACUUCUGGGGACCAUGAUUGGACUGAAAAGGAAUCUCAAGACAAUAAAAUAAUGGAACAAACUAAGAUCAACUAAGGGGGGAAGGGGGAGCAACAGCUUGACGGAUGCAUCUUAGGAAGCAACGCUGAUUGCUUUUUAUCUCAACGCAAUGAGUUUGAUAAGCUCACUAGGCAAUUGCACCGUGUUGAUGAAAUUUUAUGCUGAGAAAUAUUAUUUGUUCAUGCAUGUAUGCAAGAGACUUGAAAAGAAUCGAUUGUCACUGCUCCCAUGUUUCUUCAGCUGCUCAUGAGUCACACCAUUGGAAAUGCAGGAACAGAGUAAGAAAAUCGCUUUAAAGGAAGAUCAUCCUAUGUAAUCAUCUCUUGAGGCAAACAAGAGUAAUUUAUCAUAGUCACUAUCAUGUUACAUUACUGAGAUUUGCUACAAUGGUAUGUGAAAAAAAAAUUUGAAGCUAACAUCGACCACUUAGACUAGAUGAAUAGUGCUGGUGAA
Eucalyptus grandis is the source of this 2352-nucleotide long non-coding RNA. RefSeq lists it as uncharacterized. The record is from RefSeq and is a predicted model, not a curated record. Lineage: Eukaryota; Viridiplantae; Streptophyta; Magnoliopsida; Myrtales; Myrtaceae. The transcript has 2 exons.